UCCGACUUAACGUCGGCAGUCCCAAUAGAGUGCCCAACUGAAUGCUGGCAACUAUUGGCAAGGGUUGCGCUCGUUGCGGGACUUAACCCAACAUCUCACGACACGAGCUGACGACAGCCAUGCAGCACCUGUACAGCGGCCCGAAGGCUACGGCAUCUCUGCCGUAUUCCACUGUAUGUCAAACCCAGGUAAGGUUUUUCGCGUUGCAUCGAAUUGAACCACAUGCUCCACUGCUUGUGCGGGCCCCCGUCAAUUUCUUUGAGUUUUAAUCUUGCGACCGUACUCCCCAGGCGAGAUACUUAACGCGUUAGCUUCGGCACUGAUGGGGUCAAUACCACCAACACCAAGUAUCCAUCGUUUACGGCGUGGACUAC
This 374-nucleotide unclassified non-coding RNA is filed under the name uncultured Pseudobdellovibrionaceae bacterium. Its description in RNAcentral is "uncultured Bdellovibrionaceae bacterium contains 16S-23S intergenic spacer region". The record is from RNAcentral. Lineage: Bacteria; Pseudomonadati; Bdellovibrionota; Bdellovibrionia; Bdellovibrionales; Pseudobdellovibrionaceae.